This 480-nucleotide ribosomal RNA is filed under the name Pichia kluyveri. RNAcentral describes it as "eukaryotic LSU rRNA". It matches the Rfam family "Eukaryotic large subunit ribosomal RNA", at positions 128 to 615 of the family's 3401-position model. The record is from RNAcentral. Lineage: Eukaryota; Fungi; Ascomycota; Pichiomycetes; Pichiales; Pichiaceae.
CACCUAGUGUGCGAGUUGUAAAUUGCAGGUUGGAGUCUCGGGUUAGACGUGUGUGCAAGUCCCUUGGAACAGGGUGCCACUGAGGGUGAGAGCCCCGUAGCGUGCAUGUCGACACCUGUGAGGCCCUUCUGACGAGUCGAGUUGUUUGGGAAUGCAGCUCUAAGUGGGUGGUAAAUUCCAUCUAAGGCUAAAUAUUGGCGAGAGACCGAUAGCGAACAAGUACUGUGAAGGAAAGAUGAAAAGCACUUUGAAAAGAGAGUGAAACAGCACGUGAAAUUGUUGAAAGGGAAGGGUAUUGGGCUCGACAUGGGAUUUACGCAUCGUUGCCUCUCGUGGGCGGCGCUCUGGGUUUUUCCUGGGCCAGCAUCGGUUUUCGUUGCAGGAUAAGGACAAUUGGAAUGUGGCUCCUCGGAGUGUUAUAGCCUUUUGUAGAUGCUGCGUAUGGGGACCGAGGGCUGCGGCGGACUCGUUUCGUCUCGG